This is a long non-coding RNA of Anneissia japonica, 175 nucleotides long. RefSeq lists it as uncharacterized. The record is from RefSeq and is a predicted model, not a curated record. Lineage: Eukaryota; Metazoa; Echinodermata; Crinoidea; Comatulida; Comatulidae. The transcript has 3 exons.
AUGGUACCUUAUGUUCUGAGCUGGAUAGCCAGUGAUCUUGGAUAUAGCCAGUAAUCUUGGAUACGUCUUGAGAGGACAGCACAGUUUAUUUACCAAUAAAUGUUCAACGAAUGAAAAGUGAACACGGUUAUACGACUGGAUUUCAAUAUUGUCUUUUAUUGUCGGGCCAGUACAG